This 376-nucleotide ribosomal RNA is filed under the name Cryptotermes cryptognathus. RNAcentral's name for it is "partial large subunit ribosomal RNA". The stretch from base 1 to 189 matches the Rfam family "Archaeal large subunit ribosomal RNA", at positions 1913 to 2143 of the family's 2987-position model. Lineage: Eukaryota; Metazoa; Arthropoda; Insecta; Blattodea; Kalotermitidae. The record is from RNAcentral.
CUCUUCCUGUCUUUUGAUUUGAAGUAUGACCUGCCCACUGAUGUGAUUGAAGGGCCGCGGUAUUCUGACCGUGCAAAGGUAGCAUAAUCAUUAGUUCUUUAAUUGUGAGCUGGCAUGAAUGGUUUGACGAGGUAUUGACUGUCUUUGGAUUGGAUUUAUUGAAUUUGUUGUCUGGGUAAAAAUACCUAGAUUUUUUUAUGGGACGAGAAGACCCUAUAGAGUUUUAUAUAAUGUGUUCUUUUUGGUUUGUUUAUUUUAGUGGGCUGUUUAUAUUUCGUUGGGGUGAUGAGAAGGUAAGUGUAACCCUUCUUUUUUAAUUUCACUUAUUUGUGUUUUUGUGAUCCUUUAUUAUUGAUUAUAAGAUUAAAUUACCUUA